CGGCGGACGGGUGAGUAACGCGUGGGUAACCUGCCUCAUACAGGGGGAUAACAGUUAGAAAUGACUGCUAAUACCGCAUAAGACCACAGCACCGCAUGGUGCGGGGGUAAAAACUCCGGUGGUAUGAGAUGGACCCGCGUCUGAUUGGCUAGUUGGUAAGGUAACGGCCCACCAAGGCAACGAUCGGUAGCCGGACUGAGAGGUUGAACGGCCACAUUGGGACUGAGACACGGCCCAG
Molecule: ribosomal RNA, 238 nt
Filed under: uncultured bacterium
Lineage: Bacteria
Description: partial 16S ribosomal RNA
Rfam family: Bacterial small subunit ribosomal RNA
Source: RNAcentral